CCUACGUGGGGCAGCAGUAGGGAAUCUUCCACAAUGGGCGAAAGCCUGAUGCAGCAACGCCGCGUGGGUGAAGAAGGUCUUCGGAUCGUAAAACCUUGUUGUUAGAGAAGAAAGUGCGUGAGAGUAACUGUUCACGUUUCUACGUUAUCUAACCAGAACGCCACGGCUAACUACGUGCCAGCAGCAGCGGUAAUACGUAGGUGGCGAGCGUUAUCCGGAUUUAUUGGGCGUAAAGGGAACGCAGACGGUCUUUUAAGUCUGAUGUGAAAGCCUUCGGCUUAACCGGAGCAGUGCAUUGGAAACUGGGAGACGUGAGUGCAGAAGAGGAGAGUGGAACUCCAGGUGUAGCGGUGAAAUGCGUAGAUAUAUGGAAGAACACCAGUGGCGAAAGCAGCUCUCUGGUCUGUAACUGACGCUGAGGUUCGAAAGCGUGGGUAGCAAACAGGAUUAGAUACCCUUGUAGUC
Molecule: ribosomal RNA, 465 nt
Filed under: uncultured bacterium
Lineage: Bacteria
Description: partial 16S ribosomal RNA
Rfam family: Bacterial small subunit ribosomal RNA
Source: RNAcentral